RNAcentral lists this ribosomal RNA (1394 nucleotides) under uncultured bacterium. Its description in RNAcentral is "16S ribosomal RNA". It matches the Rfam family "Bacterial small subunit ribosomal RNA". The record is from RNAcentral.
AGAGUUUGAUCCUGGCUCAGGAUGAACGCUGGCGGCGUGCCUAACACAUGCAAGUCGAACGGAUUUAUAACGAAACCUAGUGAAUUAUAAGUUAGUGGCGGACGGGUGAGUAACGCGUGGAAAACCUGCCGUAUACUGGGGGACAACACUUAGAAAUAGGUGCUAAUACCGCAUAAGCGCACAGACCCGCAUGGGACAGUGUGAAAAACAAAAAGUUAAAGCUUUUUAUGGUAUACGAUGGUUCCGCGUCUGAUUAGCUUGUUGGCGGGGUAACGGCCCACCAAGGCGACGAUCAGUAGCCGGCCUGAGAGGGUGAACGGCCACAUUGGGACUGAGACACGGCCCAGACUCCUGCGGGAGGCAGCAGUGGGGAAUAUUGCACAAUGGGGGAAACCCUGAUGCAGCGACGCCGCGUUAGCGAAGAAGUACCUCGGUAUGUAAAGCUCUAUCAGCAGGGAAGAAAGUGACAGUACCUGACUAAGAAGCCCCGGCUAACUACGUGCCAGCAGCCGCGGUAAUACGUAGGGGGCAAGCGUUAUCCGGAUUCACUGGGCGUAAAGGGAGCGCAGGCGGCGCGGCAAGUCUGAUGUGAAAGCCCGGGGCUCAACCCCGGGUCUGCAUUGGAAACUGUCGAGCUAGAGUGUCGGAGGGGUAAGCGGAAUUCUUAGUGUAGCGGUGAAAUGCGUAGAUAUUAGGAGGAACACCAGUGGCGAAGGCGGCUUACUGGACGAUGACUGACGCUGAGGCUCGAAAGCGUGGGGAGCAAACAGGAUUAGAUACCCUGGUAGUCCACGCCGUAAACGAUGAAUAUUAGGUGUCGGUGAGCAAAGCUCAUCGGUGCCGCAGCAAAACGCAAUAAAUAUUCCUCCUGGGGAGUACGUUGGCAAGAAUGAAACUCAAAGGAAUUGACGGGGACCCGCACAAGCGGUGGAGCAUGUGGUUUAAUUUGAAGCAACGCGGAGAACCUUACCAAGCCUUGACAUCCUGCUGACCGUCCCUUAGCCGGGGCUUCCCUUCGGGGCAGCAGAGACAGGUGGUGCAUGGUUGUCGUCAGCUCGUGUCGUGAGAUGUUGGGUUAAGUCCCGCAACGAGCGCAACCCUUAUCCUUAGUAGCCAGCAUAUCAGAUGGGAACUCUGAGGAGACUGCCGGAGACAAUCCGGAGGAAGGUGGGGAUGACAUCAAAUCAUCAUGCCCCUUAUGGCUUGGGCUACACACGUGCUACAAUGGUGGUAACAAAGUGACGCGACCCCGUGAGGGCAAGCCAACCACAAAAAAGCCAUCUCAGUUCGGAUUGUAGUCUGCAACCCGACUACAUGAAGCUGGAAUCGCUAGUAAUCGCGAAUCAGAAUGUCGCGGUGAAUACGUUCCCGGGUCUUGCACUCACCGCCCGUCA